Molecule: transfer RNA, 72 nt
Filed under: Muntiacus reevesi (Reeves' muntjac)
Lineage: Eukaryota; Metazoa; Chordata; Mammalia; Artiodactyla; Cervidae
Also listed under: 2 other names
Rfam family: tRNA
About the family: Transfer RNA (tRNA) molecules are approximately 80 nucleotides in length. Their secondary structure includes four short double-helical elements and three loops (D, anti-codon, and T loops).
Source: Rfam by way of RNAcentral
UCCUUCAUAGCUCAGUUGGUAAAGAAUCUGCCUGCAAUGCAGGAGACCCUGGUUCGAUUCCUGGGUUGGGAA